Molecule: transfer RNA, 70 nt
Filed under: Robinsia catherinae
Lineage: Eukaryota; Metazoa; Chordata; Actinopteri; Anguilliformes; Chlopsidae
Description: tRNA-Asp
Rfam family: tRNA
About the family: Transfer RNA (tRNA) molecules are approximately 80 nucleotides in length. Their secondary structure includes four short double-helical elements and three loops (D, anti-codon, and T loops). Further hydrogen bonds mediate the characteristic L-shaped molecular structure. tRNAs have two regions of fundamental functional importance: the anti-codon, which is responsible for specific mRNA codon recognition, and the 3' end, to which the tRNAs corresponding amino acid is attached (by aminoacyl-tRNA synthetases). tRNAs cope with the degeneracy of the genetic code in two manners: having more than one tRNA (with a specific anti-codon) for a particular amino acid; and 'wobble' base-pairing, i.e. permitting non-standard base-pairing at the 3rd anti-codon position.
Source: RNAcentral
AAGAUACUAGUAAUAAAAAUUACGCUACUUUGUCAAGGUAUAAUUGUAGGUUAAAGCCCUGCGUAUCUUA